ACUCCUGCGGGAGGCAGCAGUGGGGAAUAUUGGACAAUGGGCGCAAGCCUGAUCCAGCCAUGCCGCGUGAGUGAUGAAGGCCCUAGGGUUGUAAAGCUCUUUCACCGGUGAAGAUAAUGACGGUAACCGGAGAAGAAGCCCCGGCUAACUUCGUGCCAGCAGCCGCGGUAAUACGAAGGGGGCUAGCGUUGUUCGGAUUUACUGGGCGUAAAGCGCACGUAGGCGGACUAUUAAGUCAGGGGUGAAAUCCCGGGGCUCAACCCCGGAACUGCCUUUGAUACUGGUAGUCUUGAGUUCGAGAGAGGUGAGUGGAAUUCCGAGUGUAGAGGUGAAAUUCGUAGAUAUUCGGAGGAACACCAGUGGCGAAGGCGGCUCACUGGCUCGAUACUGACGCUGAGGUGCGAAAGCGUGGUGAGCAAACAGGAUUAGAUACCCCUGUAGUCCCAUGA
RNAcentral lists this ribosomal RNA (449 nucleotides) under uncultured organism. RNAcentral describes it as "partial 16S ribosomal RNA". It matches the Rfam family "Bacterial small subunit ribosomal RNA", at positions 335 to 800 of the family's 1533-position model. The record is from RNAcentral.